UACGAAGGGGGCUAGCGUUGCUCGGAAUCACUGGGCGUAAAGGGUGCGUAGGCGGGUCUUUAAGUCAGGGGUGAAAUCCUGGAGCUCAACUCCAGAACUGCCUUUGAUACUGAGGAUCUUGAGUUCGGGAGAGGUGAGUGGAACUGCGAGUGUAGAGGUGAAAUUCGUAGAUAUUCGCAAGAACACCGGUGGCGAAGGCGGCAUCCUGGACCAAUUCUGACGCUGAGGAGCGAAAGCCAGGGGAGCAAACGGG
Molecule: ribosomal RNA, 253 nt
Filed under: uncultured bacterium
Lineage: Bacteria
Description: partial 16S ribosomal RNA
Rfam family: Bacterial small subunit ribosomal RNA
Source: RNAcentral